CACAGGGUAUCCCAAACGAUCUGUUCCUGCAAUCCCCUGGGCUGGCCUACUGUCCAAGUCUCAUUCAGUCUCAAGUCCAGCCCUCUGAAGUCUCAGGUUCCCGGUUCAACAGGGCACCCGGACAAGCGUGCCCUGUGGGGAUUGCUGGGUAGGGCCGGCCGCCGCCGCCCUGGCUGCUAGCUUCGCCAGGCAGACCUACUGCCUGGCGUCCCAUGUCUUUUUUAUACUUGGGAGUUUCCCCGUCCUGUGGGCAACAAAGAUCAGUCUGGAAAUGCAGCUCUGACUCACCGUUUGCGGAUUCAACGCGAGAUCCAAUCCUGGGUUGUUCUCACAGCGCCAUCUUGAGUCUUCCCCGGACUUCUAAUUUUCUAGUUUUUCUCCACCUGCCCUUACUCAUACAAAGAUAUGCAGCAGAACAACUCCUGGAGUAAUCACUUGCUGGGAUUAGAUGGUGGUUUCAAGUGCAGAAGUGUCAGUGUUGAAGAGUUAUGCACCGAUCUGGUGAUCAUUCCUGGAGGACCGGACUAAAGCCUGUUUCUUCAGCCUCAUGGGUGGCAGGCCCUAAGAUGGCCUGAAUGACCCUGAAUCCUGGUACUCAAGUCUUUGUGUAUCAUUCUCCUCUUGUGUAUGAACAGGACCUACUAAUUGGCUUGCAAUGGACAGAAAAGUGUAGGUAUCACUUCUGAGAUUAAGUUACAAAAAAGGGUGACAUUUAUCUUACUUGUGCCUUUCUUAGUUUUUUUUUUUUUUUCUUUUUCUUGUGGUCCUGGCUCUGGAGGUAAACAAACUACUAUGUUGUGAGUAACCCUAUGCAGAGGUCUAUGUGGCAAGGAACUGACAACUCAGUUUGCAGACAGUGAGAAGUGAGGCUGCCACUGUCAUGUUGUGUGAUCUUGGAAGUGGGUCUUCUGAUAGCUAACAGUCACUGUGUGUUAGGAAGCCAAUCCUCCGCUUCACCUUUGAGAUGAUCACAGUGCAGACUGACAUCUGAAUUGUGACUUUGUGGAAGACCCUGAGCCAGAGGACUCAGGUAAGUUGCACUGGAUUCCUGACCCACAAAAACUAUGAGAUAAUAAAUUCUGGUUUUGUUAAGCCUCUGACUUUUGGGCUAAUCGGUUAUGCAGUUAUGUAACUAGUAUUUUCAAAAAAAUUUUGUGAGAAGCUAAUUUUCCGAUUUAAAUUUAUUCAGCUUAAAAUGCCUAGGGUACUGUCUGUUUCAUCAACAAAGUGUAACUUAUAAACUCCCUGCUUCACCCUUUAUAUAUUAUCUUGCUCUCUGAAAUUUCCUUUCCCCUAUUCUCCUUUGUCAGAUCACCUAUUAUUUGUAACUCAAGUUCAAUCUACAAUGUCAGUCCCUAAUAGGAUGCUCUCCAGUUUGAUUUAUUGCUCUGAAUAUACCUAUCAGAUAUUUACGUAUCUCAAUUAAAAGGCAGUAUCUGUUAAUGGCGUAUGUCUGCUGUAUACUAAAAUAAGUAUUUCUAGAGGACCACAAGAGAAAACAUUUCCUAGUCAUUUUUGCAUGCCAGUACCUAGCCAAAACCUAGAGAGCAGAAUGUAUUUCUAAAGCAUGAUGAGUGAAGGUAAAUAAACAGUAAAAGAGGGAAGAAGCAAAGAAAGGAAAAAGAAAAGAACAAAUAACUCUAAAACCAGUAAUUUUUCAAAUACAGUGUGGUAACUACAACAUGAUGCUCUAAAAUCUGAAUGAAUUCUUCAGUGUCUCAUCAUGCAGCAGAGAAUAUAUUGCAGGCUAAAUGUUGCAGAAUGGGAUAAAAUGAAAGAGGUCAGGGCUGGAAUAUGAUGAAUCUAGGUUUUCUAAGGGAAAUUAUUGUAUCUGUAGGUGUUAGAAGUAGCCAAGAAAGGCAGGCUGUGUAUUGUCCAAUAAAUAUUUUGAAAGGAAGACUGGUGCUACCUGCAGAUGGUUGACAUCAGACAGAUUCAAAAAAACAUAGUAGUAGUUGUCUAAAAGGUGGCAGGCAGAGUCAGGCAUUGAUGAGCAGUUCACAUCCAGGCAUAUGUCAGUUGUCCACAUCAAGAUGAUGUACCAGUAAGUAACAAGGCCUAAGGCAUAAGGCCAGGUUCUGGACAAGGAUCCCAUUAGUGGGAUGUGCAGUGAAAAGUUUACCUGUGGAACACACACUGUGGUUCUUAAGAGAUUUGAAUACCAAAUUUAGAAAACCAGACAUACACUUUAAUUCAAAAAUUAAACAGUGGUCCUCUGAGUAUUUAAUUCAUGAUCUUUGAAUGUUGCCUUCCUAAGGGUAGGCUUAGUUUAGACAGAGAUUAAGAUGGCUUCUACUGGCUGGAGAGAAAUAUACAAAAUCUAUGAGUCACAUAGAACUUGGAAGUAAUAGAUAUGUGUAUUUGAAUAGGUAAAUAUUUCUGGAUCUGUGUUGAUGAUGAAUCAGACACCAUUAAAGAAAUACCUUUUAAGUAUUUACUUUAAGCAUUGCACUAAAUGCCUUAUAAUGGUAAGCCUUGAAAAUUUUACAUUUUGAAUUACAAGUAUUACUCAAGAAUACAUUUCAGACCAAUUUAUAAAACAUAAAAAAAUGCAAAAUUAUACAUUUUGGACAAUGAUAU
Callithrix jacchus (white-tufted-ear marmoset) is the source of this 2580-nucleotide long non-coding RNA. The record is from Ensembl. NCBI's taxonomy places the organism in Eukaryota, Metazoa, Chordata, Mammalia, Primates, Cebidae.